AAAGGCCAGUUCAUUAUUAAUUGUCGUUGUUCGAAAAUGCCGAAUUUCGCACCAGGAAAAGACGUUUUGCGGCGAAGUCUAUUAACCUUUUUUUCAUUUGAAGAAAAUGGCUGUCGAAGUUAUCGAUCACAGAAAAAUAAUAGGGUGGAACAAUUCCUGUCUAGAAUGAUCUGGAUUUUUCUAUUGAAAGAAUUUGCUAUCGUGUCAAGGAAGGAGUUAUCUAAUUAUUAUAUGCUUCGGCUGUUCUCUCAGAGUUCCUAGUGGAUUGGCCAAUAAGUUAAUUCUCCAUAUUUAACAGAAUGGCAAUACAGCUAUAAAACGUAAUGACUUAUUGGCCAACCAAACACAUUCCAGGCUUGGCUGACGCGUCUCAGCAAACUCGCUUGUCGAUCGAACGAUCGGAAACAACAUAGAAACAACAUUCCUACAACGAUUGCAAACGAUGCAGUCACGAGAUUCGUUUU
This is a long non-coding RNA of Megalopta genalis, 464 nucleotides long. RefSeq lists it as uncharacterized. Lineage: Eukaryota; Metazoa; Arthropoda; Insecta; Hymenoptera; Halictidae. The record is from RefSeq and is a predicted model, not a curated record.